CAAUUUUUUUUUUUUUUUAAUAUUGCAUCAGUGGAGAACAAUUAAAAGCAUGGUUAAUAAUGAUGAGGUCACUGAAAAAGACAUCAAGUUCUCAUGGAGAUGAAGGAGAAGAACUCUUGCUAUUCAGAAUGGAGCAGCCUGGAAAUGAUAACAUGGAGCACUGUGGGGGAACUGAAAUCGCAGUACCUCAAACAGGCUUGUCAGUGGCUGCUUUAGGGUGGUAUGGGUAAUAAUGGCCUCAGGCUGUGGUUGAGGCUUGGAACAGCAGCAGGGUGGUGUGGCAGUGAGGAGAGGCUGAGGGAGCUCGUGAAUCUGACAGUGAGCUCAGCUCUGACCCAUACAGAUCCCUGUAGAGAAAUGACCUGUACCCUCCCCGUGCUCUAAGAUAAUUGGAAAGACUUACAUCCAAGCUGGGAUGUCAGAAAAAGACCCACAUAAUAUAAUAUUGGAAGGAUCCUUCAGCUUGUCUGAACUCAUGAAGGGAGCACCAAUGCCUUAAAACAGGAAUUGCUUGCUUUUUUUAUUUAUUUAUUUUUUUUUAUUUUAAUAAAUCUUCUUACUCUUAUAAGGGGGAAAAAACAUGUAAAACAUGGGGAUGAUCAAACUAACACUGACAUGUAAAAUCUAUACUCCAACAGAAUUAUGGGUACAUAUGAUUAAUGUUAUCCCUUCUCCUGAAUUAAAAUCAAAUGAAAAAUUUGCCUUUGUCUUAUUGGCCUGUCAUAUUAGAUUGAUCAUAUACUUAUCCAUUACAAACACAUUGGCCGAGUCUUUCUUCCCUUUCUCACAGAGACAUUAGCACAUAUGAAAAUCCAGACAAGAAGAGCAAAGUGUUUCCCUUGACUUUGGUUAUUAGUGGAAGUUAAGGAGCUGCUGUUUGAGCAUGUGACA
Megalobrama amblycephala (Wuchang bream) is the source of this 891-nucleotide long non-coding RNA. RefSeq lists it as uncharacterized. The record is from RefSeq and is a predicted model, not a curated record. Lineage: Eukaryota; Metazoa; Chordata; Actinopteri; Cypriniformes; Xenocyprididae. The transcript is spliced from 3 exons.